GAUCCUGGCUCAGAAUCAACGCUGGCGGCGUGCCUCAGACAUGCAAGUCGAACGAUUAAAGCCCUCUUCGGAGGGUGUAUAGAGUGGCGCACGGGUGAGUAACACGUAAGUAAUCUACCCUCGAGUGGGGAAUAACAACCGGAAACGGUUGCUAAUACCGCAUAAUGCAGCGGCACCGCAAGGUGACAGUUGUUAAAGAUUUAUUGCUUGAGGAGGAGCUUGCGGCAGAUUAGCUAGUUGGUAAGGUAAUGGCUUACCAAGGCAACGAUCUGUAGCCGGUCUAAGAGGACGGUCGGUCACACUGACACUGAAUAACGGGUCAGACUCCUACGGGAGGCAGCAGUCGGGAAUUUUGGGCAAUGGGCGAAAGCCUGACCCAGCAACGCCGCGUGAAGGAUGAAGUAUUUCGGUAUGUAAACUUCGUAAGAAUAGGAAGAAUAAAUGACGGUACUAUUUGUAAGGUCCGGCUAACUACGUGCCAGCAGCCGCGGUAAUACGUAGGGACCAAGCGUUGUUCGGAUUUACUGGGCGUAAAGGGCGCGUAGGCGGCAUGACAAGUCACUUGUGAAAUCUCCGGGCUUAACUCGGAACGGCCAAGUGAUACUGUCGCGCUAGAGUGCAGAAGGGGCAAUCGGAAUUCUUGGUGUAGCGGUGAAAUGCGUAGAUAUCAAGAGGAACACCUGAGGUGAA
RNAcentral lists this ribosomal RNA (690 nucleotides) under uncultured Acidobacteriota bacterium. RNAcentral describes it as "bacterial SSU rRNA". It matches the Rfam family "Bacterial small subunit ribosomal RNA", at positions 15 to 719 of the family's 1533-position model. The record is from RNAcentral. Lineage: Bacteria; Pseudomonadati; Acidobacteriota.